This 133-nucleotide ribosomal RNA is filed under the name uncultured bacterium. RNAcentral's name for it is "partial 16S ribosomal RNA". It matches the Rfam family "Bacterial small subunit ribosomal RNA", at positions 355 to 508 of the family's 1533-position model. The record is from RNAcentral.
UGAGGAAUAUUGGUCAAUGGACGCAAGCCUGAUCCAGCCAUGCCGCGUGAGUGGUGAAGGCCCUAGGGUUGCAAGCUCUUUCACCGGUGAAGAUAAUGACGGUACCGGAGAAGAAGCCCCGGCUACUUCGUGC